Molecule: ribosomal RNA, 478 nt
Filed under: uncultured bacterium
Lineage: Bacteria
Description: partial 16S ribosomal RNA
Rfam family: Bacterial small subunit ribosomal RNA
Source: RNAcentral
GACGAACGCUGGCGGCGUGCUUAACACAUGCAAGUCGGACGGUAAGGCCCUUCGGGGUACACGAGUGGCGAACGGGUGAGUAACACGUGGGUGAUCUGCCCUGCACUUCGGGAUAAGCCUGGGAAACUGGGUCUAAUACCGGAUAGGACUCCUGGCUUCAUGGUUGGGGGUGGAAAGCUUUUGCGGUGUGGGAUGGGCCCGCGGCCUAUAAGCUUGUUGGUGGGGUAAUGGCCUACCAAGGCGACGACGGGUAGCCGGCCUGAGAGGGUGACCGGACACAAUGGGACUGGGAUACGGCCCAGACUCCUACGGGAGGAAGCAGUGGGGAAUAUUGCACAAUGGGCGCAAGCCUGAUGCAGCGACGCCGCGUGAGGGAUGACGGCCUUCGGGUUGUAAACCUCUUUCAGCUAUGACGAAGCGCAAGUGACGGUAGUAGCAGAAGAAGGACCGGCCAACUACGUGCCAGCCGCCGCCGUAA